GACCUCUCAGGAUGAACGCUAGCUACAGGCUUAACACAUGCAAGUCGAGGGGCAGCAUGGUCUUAGCUUGCUAAGGCCGAUGGCGACCGGCGCACGGGUGAGUAACACGUAUCCAACCUGCCGUCUACUCUUGGACAGCCUUCUGAAAGGAAGAUUAAUACAAGAUGGCAUCAUGAGUCCACAUGUUCACAUGAUUAAAGGUAUUCCGGUAGACGAUGGGGAUGCG
This 226-nucleotide ribosomal RNA is filed under the name uncultured bacterium. RNAcentral's name for it is "partial 16S ribosomal RNA". It matches the Rfam family "Bacterial small subunit ribosomal RNA", at positions 18 to 235 of the family's 1533-position model. The record is from RNAcentral.